RNAcentral lists this ribosomal RNA (253 nucleotides) under uncultured bacterium. Its description in RNAcentral is "partial 16S ribosomal RNA". It matches the Rfam family "Bacterial small subunit ribosomal RNA", at positions 524 to 776 of the family's 1533-position model. The record is from RNAcentral.
UACAGAGGGGGCAAGCGUUGUUCGGAAUUACUGGGCGUAAAGGGCGCGUAGGCGGCCUUCUAAGUCGAACGUGAAAUCCCCGGGCUCAACCCGGGAACUGCGUCCGAUACUGGAAGGCUUGAAUCCGGGAGAGGGAUGUGGAAUUCCAGGUGUAGCGGUGAAAUGCGUAGAUAUCAGGAGGAAUACCGAUGGCGAAGGCAGGUCUCUGGGCUGACACUGACGCUCAUGCACGAAAGCGUGGGGAGCAAACAGG